RNAcentral lists this ribosomal RNA (301 nucleotides) under uncultured bacterium. RNAcentral describes it as "partial 16S ribosomal RNA". It matches the Rfam family "Bacterial small subunit ribosomal RNA", at positions 509 to 809 of the family's 1533-position model. The record is from RNAcentral.
CAGUAGCCACGGUAAUACGGAGGAUCCGAGCGUUAUCCGGAAUUAUUGGGUUUAAAGGGUGCGUAGGCGGAUAGAUAAGUCAGUGGUGAAAGACGGUGGCUCAACCAUCGCAGUGCCGUUGAUACUGUUUAUCUUGAAUAUGGAUGAGGUAGGCGGAAUGUGGCAAGUAGCGGUGAAAUGCAUAGAUAUGCCACAGAACACCGAUUGCGAAGGCAGCUUACCAAGGCAAAAUUGACGCUGAGGCACGAAAGCGUGGGGAUCGAACAGGAUUAGAUACCCCCGUAGUCCCUGUCUCUUAUAA